Molecule: ribosomal RNA, 450 nt
Filed under: uncultured bacterium
Lineage: Bacteria
Description: partial 16S ribosomal RNA
Rfam family: Bacterial small subunit ribosomal RNA
Source: RNAcentral
GUGGGGAAUCUUCCGCAAUGGACGAAAGUCUGACGGAGCAACGCCGCGUGAGUGAUGAAGGUCUUCGGAUUGUAAAGCUCUGUUAAUCGGGACGAAAGAGCCUAGUGUGAAUAAUGCUAGGAAGUGACGGUACCGGAAUAGAAAGCCACGGCUAACUACGUGCCAGCAGCCGCGGUAAUACGUAGGUGGCAAGCGUUGUCCGGAAUUAUUGGGCGUAAAGCGCGCGCAGGCGGAUCUGCCAGUCUGUCUUAAAAGUUCGGGGCUUAACACCGGGAUGGGAUGGAAACUACAGAUCUAGAGUAUCGGAGAGGAAAGUGGAAUUCCUAGUGUAGCGGUGAAAUGCGUAGAUAUUAGGAAGAACACCAGUGGCGAAGGCGACUUUCUGGACGAAAACUGACGCUGAGGCGCGAAAGCCAGGGGAGCGAACGGGAUUAGAAACCCUAGUAGUCC